Molecule: ribosomal RNA, 301 nt
Filed under: uncultured bacterium
Lineage: Bacteria
Description: partial 16S ribosomal RNA
Rfam family: Bacterial small subunit ribosomal RNA
Source: RNAcentral
CAGUCGCCGCGGUAAUUCGUAGGUGGCUAGCGUUGCUCGGAAUCACUGGGCGUAAAGGGUGCGUAGGCGGGUCUUUAAGUCAGGGGUGAAAUCCUGGAGCUCAACUCCAGAACUGCCUUUGAUACUGAAGAUCUUGAGUUCGGGAGAGGUGAGUGGAACUGCGAGUGUAGAGGUGAAAUUGGUAGAUAUUCGCAAGAACACCAGUGGCGAAGGCGGCUCACUGGCCCGAUACUGACGCUGAGGCACGAAAGCGUGGGGAGCAAACAGGAUUAGAUACCCCCGUAGUCCCUGUCUCUUAUAC